UAGAGUUCGAUUAUGGCUCAGGAUGAACGCUGGCGGUAUGCUUAACACAUGCAAAGUCGAACGAAAGUUUUUCUAACUUUAGUGGCGAACGGGUGCGUAAUACGUGAGAAUCUACCCUUAGGAGGAGAAUAACUGCUGGAGACGGUUGCGAAGUCUCCAUAUGCCGAGAGGUGAAAUAGUUUGUACUGCCUAUGGAUGAGCUCGCGCCUGAUUAGCUUGUUGGUAAGGUAACGGCUUACCAAGGCCACGAUCAGUAGCUGGUUUGAGAGAACGAUCAGCCACACUGGGACUGAGACACGGCCCAGACUCCUCCGGGAGGCAGCAGUGAGGAAUUUUCCGCAAUGGGCGAAAGCCUGACGGAGCAAUACCGCGUGAGGGAUGAAGGAUUUUGGUCUGUAAGCCUCUUUUCUCAAGAAAGAAGUUCUGACGGUACUUGAGGAAUAAGCAUCGGCUAACUCCGUGCCAGCCGCCGCGGUAAUUCA
RNAcentral lists this ribosomal RNA (482 nucleotides) under uncultured cyanobacterium. RNAcentral describes it as "bacterial SSU rRNA". It matches the Rfam family "Bacterial small subunit ribosomal RNA", at positions 1 to 527 of the family's 1533-position model. The record is from RNAcentral. Lineage: Bacteria; Bacillati; Cyanobacteriota.